This 28-nucleotide non-coding RNA is filed under the name Homo sapiens (human). Lineage: Eukaryota; Metazoa; Chordata; Mammalia; Primates; Hominidae. The record is from RNAcentral.
UCGGUGGCAGAGUCAAAAUGGCUUGGUC